RNAcentral lists this ribosomal RNA (483 nucleotides) under uncultured bacterium. RNAcentral describes it as "partial 16S ribosomal RNA". It matches the Rfam family "Bacterial small subunit ribosomal RNA", at positions 30 to 507 of the family's 1533-position model. The record is from RNAcentral.
UUGAACGCUGGCGGCAGGCCUCACACCUGCAAGUCGCGCGGAUGAAGGGAGCUUGCUCCCGGAUUCAGCGGCGGACGGGUGAGUAAUGCCUAGGAAUCUGCCUGGUAGUGGGGGAUAACGUCCGGAAACGGGCGCUAAUACCGCAUACGUCCUGAGGGAGAAAGUGGGGGAUCUUCGGACCUCACGCUAUCAGAUGAGCCUAGGUCGGAUUAGCUAGUUGGUGGGGUAAAGGCCUACCAAGGCGACGAUCCGUAACUGGUCUGAGAGGAUGAUCAGUCACACUGGAACUGAGACACGGUCCAGACUCCUACGGGAGGCAGCAGUGGGGAAUAUUGGACAAUGGGCGAAAGCCUGAUCCAGCCAUGCCGCGUGUGUGAAGAAGGUCUUCGGAUUGUAAAGCACUUUAAGUUGGGAGGAAGGGCAGUAAGUUAAUACCUUGCUGUUUUGACGUUACCAACAGAAUAAGCACCGGCUAACUUCGUG